This 497-nucleotide ribosomal RNA is filed under the name uncultured bacterium. RNAcentral's name for it is "partial 16S ribosomal RNA". It matches the Rfam family "Bacterial small subunit ribosomal RNA", at positions 28 to 507 of the family's 1533-position model. The record is from RNAcentral.
GAUGAACGCUGGCGGCGUGCCUAAUACAUGCAAGUCGAGCGAACGGACGAGAAGCUUGCUUUUCUGAUGUUAGCGGCGGACGGGUGAGUAACACGUGGAUAACCUACCUAUAAGACUGUGAUAACUUCGGGAAACCGGAGCUAAUACCGGAUAAUAUUUUGAACCGCAUGGUUCAAAAGUGAAAGACGGUCUUGCUGUCACUUAUAGAUGGAUCCGCGCUGCAUUAGCUAGUUGGUAAGGUAACGGCUUACCAAGGCAGCGAUGCAUAGCCGACCUGAGAGGGUGGUCGGCCACACUGGAACGGAGACGCGGUCCAGACUCCUACGGGAGGCAGCAGUAGGGAAUCUUCCGCCAUGGGCGAAAGCCUGACGGAGCAACGCCGCGUGAGUGAUGAAGGUCCUCGGAUCGUAGAACUCUGUUAUUAGGGAAGAACAUAUGUGUAAGUAACUGUGCACAUCUUGACGGUACCUAAUCAGAAAGCCACGGCUAACUACGUG